This 599-nucleotide ribosomal RNA is filed under the name uncultured Acidobacteriota bacterium. RNAcentral describes it as "bacterial SSU rRNA". It matches the Rfam family "Bacterial small subunit ribosomal RNA", at positions 330 to 923 of the family's 1533-position model. Lineage: Bacteria; Pseudomonadati; Acidobacteriota. The record is from RNAcentral.
CAGGUACUCCUACGGGAGGCAGCAGUCGAGAAUCUUCGGCAAUGGGCGCAAGCCUGACCGAGCGACGCCGCGUGUGGGAUGAAGGCCCUUGGGUUGUAAACCACUGUCAGAGGGGAUGAAGUGCCAGAGAGUUAUCUCUUUGGUUUGACAUAGCCUCAGAGGAAGCACGGGCUAAGUUCGUGCCAGCAGCCGCGGUAAUACAGAGGGUGCUAGCGUUGUUCGGAAUUACUGGGCGUAAAGAGUGUGUAGGCGGUGUCCCAAGUCUGUUGUGAAAUCUCCGGGCUUAACUCGGAAAGGUCAGCCGAUACUGCGGGGCUAGAGUGCAGAAGGGGCAACUGGAAUUCUCGGUGUAGCGGUGAAAUGCGUAGAUAUCGAGAGGAACACCUGCGGCGAAGGCGGGUUGCUGGGCUGACACUGACGCUGAUGCGCGAAAGCUAGGGGAGCGAACAGGAUUAGAUACCCUGGUAGUCCUAGCCCUAAACGAUGAUCGCUUGGUGUGUCGGGUACCCAAUCCCGCCGUGCCGAAGCUAACGCGUUAAGCGAUCCGCCUGGGGAGUACGGUCGCAAGACUGAAACUUAAAGGAAUUGACGGGACUCUA